GAUGAAGAACGUAGCGAAAUGCGAUAAGUAGUGUGAAUUGCAGAAUUCAGUGAAUCAUCGAAUCUUUGAACGCACAUUGCGCCCCUUGGUAUUCCAUGGGGCAUGCCUGUUCGAGCGUCAUUUGUACCCUCCAGCCCUGCUGGGUAUUGGGCGUUUUGUUCCGCUACGCGCGUGAACUCGCCUCAAAUGCAUUGGCAGCCCGCCGUCCCGUGUGGGAGCGCAGCACAUUUUGCGCUCUCCGCUGCUGACGGUGGCAUCCACAAGUCUACCAUUUUACGCUUGACCUCGGAUCAGGUAGGGAUACCCGCUGAACUUAAGCAUAUCAAUAAGCGAGGA
This 336-nucleotide unclassified non-coding RNA is filed under the name soil metagenome. RNAcentral's name for it is "partial contains 5.8S ribosomal RNA, internal transcribed spacer 2, and large subunit ribosomal RNA". The stretch from base 1 to 120 matches the Rfam family "5.8S ribosomal RNA", at positions 35 to 154 of the family's 154-position model. The record is from RNAcentral.